AUUGAACGCUGGCGGUAGGCCUAACACAUGCAAGUCGAACGCGAAAAGUCCUUCGGGAUGAGUAGAGUGGCGGACGGGUGAGUAAUGCAUCGGAACGUACCCAGUCGUGGGGGAUAACGUAGCGAAAGUUACGCUAAUACCGCAUACGUCCUGAGGGAGAAAGCGGGGGACCGUAAGGCCUCGCGCGAUUGGAGCGGCCGAUGUCGGAUUAGCUAGUUGGUAGGGUAAAAGGCCUACCAAGGCGACGAUCCGUAGCGGGUCUGAGAGGAUGAUCCGCCACACUGGGACUGAGACACGGCCCAGACUCCUACGGGAGGCAGCAGUGGGGAAUUUGGACAAUGGGCGAAAGCCUGAUCCAGCCAUGCCGCGUGAGUGAAGAAGGCCUCGG
Molecule: ribosomal RNA, 388 nt
Filed under: uncultured bacterium
Lineage: Bacteria
Description: bacterial SSU rRNA
Rfam family: Bacterial small subunit ribosomal RNA
Source: RNAcentral